UACGAACUGUGCGAACGUUAUUCGGAAUCACUGGGCUUACAGGGUGCGUAGGCGGCUUAGCAAGUCAGGUGUGAAAGCCCCCCGGCUCAACCGGGGAACUGCGCUUGAAACUGGAGUACUAGAGUUCGGGAGAGGAUGGUGGAAUUCCCAGUGUAGAGGUGAAAAUUCGUAGAUAUUGGGAAGAACACCGAUGGCGAAGGCAGCCAUCUGGACCGACACUGACGCUGAGGCGCGAAAGCGUGGGGAGCAAACAGG
This 255-nucleotide ribosomal RNA is filed under the name uncultured bacterium. Its description in RNAcentral is "partial 16S ribosomal RNA". It matches the Rfam family "Bacterial small subunit ribosomal RNA", at positions 524 to 776 of the family's 1533-position model. The record is from RNAcentral.